Molecule: non-coding RNA, 206 nt
Organism: Pelobates cultripes (western spadefoot toad)
Lineage: Eukaryota; Metazoa; Chordata; Amphibia; Anura; Pelobatidae
Source: the annotation of a GenBank genome assembly
CUCAAAUCAGCCGAACAAGAAAGCAUACGAAUAAUCCACACUCCAAACAGCCGACAGGAAAACCAUAUGAAUAAUCCCCCCAAGUACGAGAUGAGGCUCUGUAUUGAGGGUCAAGCAGGAAUCUGUUUAAUCUGGGCUACCUGCCUGCCUUUUAUGCAGGUCUCCCACCUGGUGGACACUCCCCUAGGGGACCUGGUGGAAAACUG